GAUGAAGAAAGUAGCGAAAUGCGAUACUUGGUGUGAAUUGCAGAAUCCCGCGAACCAUCGAGUCUUUGAACGCAAGUUGCGCCCGAGGCCGUCGGGCCGAGGGCACGCCUGCCUGGGCGUCUCGCAACGCGUCGCCCCCCGGCCCCCGCGCGCGCGGGCGUCCCGGGGCGGACACUGGCCCCCCGCGAGCGGCAGCUCGCGGCCGGCCCAAAAUCCGGUCGCCGGCGAGGGACGGCGCGACGAGCGGUGGAGCCUGACGCGCCGCGCCGCGCCCGUCGCCCCGACCGACCCCGAAUCACCGGCCGCGACCCCAGGUCAGGCGGGAUCACCCGCUGAAUUUAAGCAUA
This 347-nucleotide ribosomal RNA is filed under the name Couratari scottmorii. Its description in RNAcentral is "eukaryotic LSU rRNA". The stretch from base 1 to 122 matches the Rfam family "5.8S ribosomal RNA", at positions 35 to 154 of the family's 154-position model. Lineage: Eukaryota; Viridiplantae; Streptophyta; Magnoliopsida; Ericales; Lecythidaceae. The record is from RNAcentral.